This 66-nucleotide transfer RNA is filed under the name Actinomycetota bacterium. RNAcentral describes it as "Actinobacteria bacterium (hot springs metagenome) tRNA-Ser". The stretch from base 10 to 66 matches the Rfam family "tRNA". Rfam says of the family: Transfer RNA (tRNA) molecules are approximately 80 nucleotides in length. Their secondary structure includes four short double-helical elements and three loops (D, anti-codon, and T loops). Further hydrogen bonds mediate the characteristic L-shaped molecular structure. tRNAs have two regions of fundamental functional importance: the anti-codon, which is responsible for specific mRNA codon recognition, and the 3' end, to which the tRNAs corresponding amino acid is attached (by aminoacyl-tRNA synthetases). tRNAs cope with the degeneracy of the genetic code in two manners: having more than one tRNA (with a specific anti-codon) for a particular amino acid; and 'wobble' base-pairing, i.e. permitting non-standard base-pairing at the 3rd anti-codon position. The record is from RNAcentral. Lineage: Bacteria; Bacillati; Actinomycetota.
CAGGUCAGUGGCUAUGUCGUCCGCCUGAAAAGCGGAAGGUCGCCGGUUCGAUCCCGGCCCUGGCCA